AUGAACGCUAGCUACAGGCUUAACACAUGCAAGUCGAGGGGCAGCAUUUCAGUUUGCUUGCAAACUGGAGAUGGCGACCGGCGCACGGGUGAGUAACACGUAUCCAACCUGCCGAUAACUCGGGGAUAGCCUUUCGGAAGAAAGAUUAAUACCCGAUGGUAUAAUCAGACCGCAUGGUCUUGUUAUUAAAGAAUUUCGGUUAUCGAUGGGGAUGCGUUCCAUUAGGCAGUUGGUGAGGUAACGGCUCACCAAACCUUCGAUGGAUAGGGGUUCUGAGAGGAAGGUCCCCCACAUUGGAACUGAGACACGGUCCAAACUCCUACGGGAGGCAGCAGUGAGGAAUAUUGGUCAAUGGGCGCAGGCCUGAACCAGCCAAGUAGCGUGAAGGAUGACUGCCCUAUGGGUUGUAAACUUCUUUUAUAUGGGAAUAAAGUUUUCCACGUGUGGAAUUCUGUAUGUACCAUAUGAAUAAGGAUCGGCUAACUCCGUGCCAGCAGCCGCGGUAAUACGGAGGAUCCGAGCGUUAUCCGGAUUUAUUGGGUUUAAAGGGAGCGUAGGUGGACAGUUAAGUCAGUUGUGAAAGUUUGCGGCUCAACCGUAAAAUUGCAGUUGAUACUGGCUGUCUUGAGUACAGUAGAGGUGGGCGGAAUUCGUGGUGUAGCGGUGAAAUGCUUAGAUAUCACGAAGAACUCCGAUUGCGAAGGCAGCUCACUGGACUGCAACUGACACUGAUGCUCGAAAGUGUGGGUAUCAAACAGGAUUAGAUACCCUGGUAGUCCACACAGUAAACGAUGAAUACUCGCUGGUUGCGAUAUACAGUAAGCGGCCAAGCGAAAGCAUUAAGUAUUCCACCUGGGGAGUACGCCGGCAACGGUGAAACUCAAAGGGAUUGACGGGGGCCCGCACAAGCGGAGGAACAUGUGGUUUAAUUCGAUGAUACGCGAGGAACCUUACCCGGGCUUAAAUUGCAUUUGAAUAAUCUGGAAACAGGUUAGCCGCAAGGCAAAUGUGAAGGUGCUGCAUGGUUGUCGUCAGCUCGUGCCGUGAGGUGUCGGCUUAAGUGCCAUAACGAGCGCAACCCUUAUCUUUAGUUACUAACAGGUCAUGCUGAGGACUCUAGAGAGACUGCCGUCGUAAGAUGUGAGGAAGGUGGGGAUGACGUCAAAUCAGCACGGCCCUUACGUCCGGGGCUACACACGUGUUACAAUGGGGGUACAGAAGGCAGCUACCUGGUGACAGGAUGCUAAUCCCAAAAGCCUCUCUCAGUUCGGAUCGAAGUCUGCAACCCGACUUCGUGAAGCUGGAUUCGCUAGUAAUCGCGCAUCAGCCAUGGCGCGGUGAAUACGUUCCCGGGCCUUGUACACACCGCCCGUCAAGCCAUGAAAGCCGGGGGUACCUGAAGUACGUAACCGCAAGGAGCGUCCUAGGGUAAAACUGGUA
Molecule: ribosomal RNA, 1440 nt
Filed under: uncultured organism
Description: SSU rRNA
Rfam family: Bacterial small subunit ribosomal RNA
Source: RNAcentral